This 66-nucleotide transfer RNA is filed under the name Lema decempunctata. RNAcentral's name for it is "tRNA-Gly". The record is from RNAcentral. Lineage: Eukaryota; Metazoa; Arthropoda; Insecta; Coleoptera; Chrysomelidae.
AUUUAUAUAAUAUAAAUAAAAUUAUAUUUGAUUUCCAAUCAAAAAAUCUAAACUUUAGUAUAAAUA